This 451-nucleotide ribosomal RNA is filed under the name uncultured bacterium. RNAcentral describes it as "bacterial SSU rRNA". It matches the Rfam family "Bacterial small subunit ribosomal RNA", at positions 29 to 490 of the family's 1533-position model. The record is from RNAcentral.
AGUGAACGCUGGCGGCGUGCUUAACACAUGCAAGUCGAGCGAUAUUUGACAGCACAUCGUCAGAUAUAGCGGCAGACGGGUGAGUAAUACUUGGGCAAUCUGCCCUUGAGAGGGAGACAACCUGCCGAAAGGCGGGCUAAUAUCCCGUAAGACCACAGGAGUGCAUACUCCAGCGGUCAAAGCUCCGCAAGGGGCGCUUGAGGAGGAGCCCGAGGCCUAUCAUGGUAGUUGGUGGGUAACGGCCCACCAAGCCUUUGACGGGUAGCCGGCCUGAAAGGGUGAUCGGCCACACUGGCACUGAGACACGGGCCAGACUCCUACGGGAGGCAGCAGUGGGGAAUCUUGCACAAUGGAGGCAACUCUGAUGCAGCGACGCCGCGUGAGCGAUGAAGCCCCUUCGGGUGUAAAGCUCUUUCGGCAGGAACGAUAAUGACGGUACCUGAAGAAGAAG